RNAcentral lists this ribosomal RNA (515 nucleotides) under Ceratitis striatella. RNAcentral describes it as "partial 16S ribosomal RNA". The stretch from base 391 to 515 matches the Rfam family "Bacterial large subunit ribosomal RNA", at positions 2473 to 2597 of the family's 2925-position model. The record is from RNAcentral. Lineage: Eukaryota; Metazoa; Arthropoda; Insecta; Diptera; Tephritidae.
GUCUUUUUGAGUUAUUUUUAAAGUCUGAUCUGCCCACUGAAUAUUUUUAAAUGGCCGCAGUAUUUUAACUGUGCAAAGGUAGCAUAAUCAUUAGUCUUUUAAUUGAAGGCUGGUAUGAACGGUUGGACGAAGUAUAAGCUGUUUCAUAUAAAAUUAUAUUAGAAUUUUAUAUUUUAGUUAAAAAGCUAAAAUUUUUUUAAAAGACGAGAAGACCCUAUAAAUCUUUAUAUUUAAUGUUAAUUGAAUUUUUUUGAUUUAUUUUAUUUUUUUAAUUUUGAAUAUUUUGUUGGGGUGAUAUUAAAAUUUAAUAAACUUUUAAGUAUAAAUUAAAUCAUUAAUUUAUGAAUAAUUGAUCCAUUAAUAAUGAUUAUAAGAUUAAGUUACUUUAGGGAUAACAGCGUAAUUUUUUUUGAGAGUUCAUAUCGAUAAAAAAGUUUGCGACCUCGAUGUUGGAUUAAGAUAUAUUUUUAGGUGUAGCCGCUUAAAUAUUGAGUCUGUUCGACUUUUAAUUUCUU